AGGAGAAACGGGGGAUCUGCCAAACACUUUUAAACCAUCAGAUCUCGUGAGAACUCACUCACUAUCACGAGAACAAACAGCAGCGGGGAACCGCCCUCCUGAUCCAAUCACUUCCCACCAGGUCCUUCCCUGACACAUGAGGAUUACAAUUCAACAUGAGAUUUGGGUGGAGACACAGGGCGAAACCAUAUCAUCCACAGGAAAGCAUGCUCUUACACAGUCUGGAUACAUCCUGCUGUUGUCUGCAAACAGCUUUCAUUUACAGGGAGCAACAGCACCAUCUCCAGCUGAGUCAGGCCCAUCUGCCUUCAGAACAGAGCCUGGCCAAGGGGCCACCUCCCCGCGCGGAACAGGCCAGCACGCAGUAGGCGCUCAAGGAGCCAGGGACGGAGGCGAGGGCGACCCACUCGUGGAGCGAGGGCGACACCCAGUGGCCAUGUGGAAAAUGACCUGCUCGAACCCAAAGGUGGGUGGCAGCAGCGCCUGAUCCGCCAGCCUCAGGCCGGGAGGAGGUGGCCGAGUCCGAUUUGAGUCCCAUGUCCUCUGGACUGCAAGUUGAGACUCCCGGUCCUAGAAGGGACAGCAAGGCCUCCUCCAGCUUCACAGGCCAUCUGACGACCUGCGCAGCUGUUUAAAGAGCAAACCGCGCAUGAGUUAAGCCGCUUGGCCCUCCCUUUCAGACCCCUCAGGCCGCCUGUGGACAGCCUGACUUACCCUCUAAGGGCCUUCCUGCCUGCCCUGGGAACACACACCGCAGGGUCCAGGGACUGGCGUCAGGGGCAGAGCGAACUCAGCGCCACCUGGGCUCCAGGCCUGGCUCUGCUCCAGGACCGGGACAAGCCCCACCCCUCCCCGAUUCCCAUCCCUGAAGCCAAGGACACUGGGGUUAUCGCGAACCACUUCUGAGGACAUGUGCAGCUAAGGACUGUUCCUGUGAUGUCUUCUAGUACAUGAACAGGAAUGAAACCUACUGUGUCCUCCACGUGAACUAUAUACUCAGCGUGGGUCCAGAUGGGAAACCAUUCUCCUAUCCUGCAGAAAUGGAAUAUACUUUCGAGGAUGUUGAACUUCCCUAGGCCAUUGGCACCAGUGACAGUGAGAACUUAUACUUGACCAUCCCAGUAACUGACCUGCUCUCCUGUUGGGAGCUCUACAUGGGACACCAGCUGCCAUGCAUUUAUCCCUCUUCAGACCUCACUGGUGAGAAGCCGGGCUUCUGGGUCCCCAUGAUGCUUUGUCCCAACUCCCAACCCUGCUGAUCCCAGUCUAGAACCACAGCACCGCCCCCAUCCUGCAUGAUGAAGGCCUUGUACAUCUGCCUUGGUGAGAUCUUUCCGGGCUCACUGGUCUCUACCCUCUGGGGAGAUGAUCGAGACCAGCUCACACUGCUGUGUAUCACAUCCAUACCUUCUAUGGGAAAACUAACCCCUCUCACCUCCUAUGUGAAGUCUUAGGCUUCAGAGCCCAUUUCAAAUGCUGUUUCUCCUAUAACCACAUAGCCUACCAACCAGAGGAUCUCCUUUCUGGUUCUUCCCUCUCCCGCAACUUUUUCCUUUUGAACUCUCGUAAUCAGAGCCAUAAUCAUAUUCUGUCUUCCACUAGUUACUUGUCCUUGACUGUUUCUUUAUUUUCCCUUCUGAGCUGACUUUCUUGAAGGCAGGGCCCCCAGCCUGAUCACCAUACCUCAUGUGGUAGUAUCCAGGUUUUGCCUUCCGCCCCUCAAAUAAUACAUAUAAAAAUGAACGAAGUUCAAUAUUUAUCCACAACCUAC
Long non-coding RNA from Chlorocebus sabaeus (green monkey), 1771 nucleotides. RefSeq lists it as uncharacterized. The record is from RefSeq and is a predicted model, not a curated record. Lineage: Eukaryota; Metazoa; Chordata; Mammalia; Primates; Cercopithecidae.